UAAUGGCAGGUCAGCAUACUGCCGUGAAUACGUUCCCGGGCCCUUGUACACACCGCCCGUCACACCAUGAGAGUUGGAAAUACCCGAAGCCUGUGAGCUAACUUUUAGAGGCAGCAGUCGGAGGUAGAGCCAAUGAUUGGGGUGAAGUCGUAACAAGGUACC
This 162-nucleotide ribosomal RNA is filed under the name uncultured bacterium. RNAcentral describes it as "partial 16S ribosomal RNA". It matches the Rfam family "Bacterial small subunit ribosomal RNA", at positions 1339 to 1500 of the family's 1533-position model. The record is from RNAcentral.